This is a long non-coding RNA of Habropoda laboriosa, 649 nucleotides long. RefSeq lists it as uncharacterized. The transcript has 3 exons. The record is from RefSeq and is a predicted model, not a curated record. Lineage: Eukaryota; Metazoa; Arthropoda; Insecta; Hymenoptera; Apidae.
GCCUUAGUGAGCAUCAGAGGUGUGAUACGGUCACAGCCAAGGACCUUUUUGUUAUAUAGGCGGGAGAUCGUUGUCCAUGGAUAACGGUGCGAUCAUGGGGGGAAGAUAACAAGGAUGCUUCAUCGUGUACCUGAGAAAAGAACUCACAAUCAACAAGGGCUUCUGGCCUCACAAGGUCGAAAGCAUGAAUUGUGCCACCAAUGCGUUCUUAUCAGAAAGCUUCAACAGCCACAGUCCAAACUAUCGUAUGAUGAAAGAGGGGCGAGGUGUACCAACCUCGUUGGAGGUCAGUCGCUUCAGUUUCACGUCUGAGGAAAGCAGGAUGCGAUAGAAAGCCCGUCUCCUGUAGCCGAUAACGGACCCGAUGGCCAGAAGAUAGUAAUGAUGCAACACAAGCACCAUAAUUUAACACGCACUGUGGUUUUGUACACGUCCGCACUUUAUGACGAUUAGUUUGGUACGCAGUUGUAGAAUAAAAAGUGACUGGUUGUGAAAGAUUGAAUUUCGCUAAAAAAGGUCGUUCUCUUGUAUCCAUUUGCGAACCUUCAUCAGCCUAAUCAGCGGCGAGGCAAGAGUUUCAUGACUGAAUAUAUCUACCCCGCUUGUUGCACGCGUAUUUACAUAUUUAUAAAAUAUACAAAAAUAAGGG